AGGGCACCACCAGGAGUGGAGCCUGCGGCUUAAUUUGACUCAACACGGGAAACCUCACCAGGCCCAGACACCGGGAGGAUUGACAGGUUGAGAGCUCUUUCUUGAUUCGGUGGGUGGUGGUGCAUGGCCGUUCUUAGUUGGUGGAGCGAUUUGUCUGGUUAAUUCCGAUAACGAACGAGACUCUAGCCUGCUAAAUAGUCGCAUCCGGUAUCCUCUGUGCUACCGGAGACCACCAAUCUUCUUAGAGGGACAGGCGGCUUCUAGCCGCACGAGAUUGAGCAAUAACAGGUCUGUGAUGCCCUUAGAUGUUCUGGGUCGCACGCGCGCUACACUGAAGGAAUCAGCGUGUCCUCCCUGGCCGAAAGGUCCGGGUAACCCGCUGAACCUCCUUCGUGCUAGGGAUUGGGGCUUGCAAUUGUUCCCCAUGAACGAGGAAUUCCCAGUAAGCGCGAGUCAUAAGCUCGCGUUGAUUACGUCCCUGCCCUUUGUACACACCGCCCGUCGCUACUACCGAUUGAA
RNAcentral lists this ribosomal RNA (519 nucleotides) under uncultured eukaryote. RNAcentral's name for it is "SSU rRNA". It matches the Rfam family "Eukaryotic small subunit ribosomal RNA", at positions 1161 to 1693 of the family's 1831-position model. The record is from RNAcentral.